Molecule: ribosomal RNA, 476 nt
Filed under: Camaenidae sp. WT6
Lineage: Eukaryota; Metazoa; Mollusca; Gastropoda; Stylommatophora; Camaenidae
Description: partial 12S ribosomal RNA
Source: RNAcentral
GUCAUACUUUUAUGGUUAGAAUUUAAUAGCAUAGGUACACAUAAAAUAAUAUUAUAUGGUAAAAUAUUCCCGUUUAACAACUUAAAUUGUGUUAUCUUACUCAAAUAUUGAACCUAAACAGGGAUUAGAUACCCCUCUAUACAAUGCAUCUGACCCUAUGCAAAGUACUAAAAUUUUUAAAAUUAAAACUUAAACAUCAUGGCGGUAAUUUAAACUUAGGGGAACUUACCAGAUAAAUGAUAACCACCAAGGCGCUCAACUGUAGCUCAUUCUUGUAUGCCGUCGUCAUCAGGUAACACUGAAAGCUUUAUCAAAAUAAACGAAUUUAAAGGACAGAUCAAGGUGCAGACUAUACUACAGUCAUGGCGAGUUACAAUUACAACUAUCAACAGACGUAAUCUUAAUUAUCACAGAAGAAGGACUUAAUAGUAAUAAAUAUUAAUAAUAUCUUAUGAAAUGUUUAAAAUUGUGCACAA